Molecule: long non-coding RNA, 2446 nt
Organism: Gallus gallus (chicken)
Lineage: Eukaryota; Metazoa; Chordata; Aves; Galliformes; Phasianidae
Source: Ensembl
UUUCAAGGCUGUGUUUUCACAGAUGGGAUGAGCCAGCCUGGUAGCUCAUAGCUGCUGAAAAAGAAGAGGUUUGAGUUGGAAGGAGCCUUUAAAGGUCACAUAGUCCAACCCCCCCCCGCAACAAACAAGGACACGCACAGCUCAGUCAGGUGCUCAGAGCCCCGUCCAGCCUGACCUUGGAUGUCUCCAGGGAUGGGGUUCUACUGGUCCUGUUUGCGUGAGACUUUCCCACAUUAACCCAGGGUAAUGAAACGCAGCAGCAGCACUCCUAAGAAAAAAGGGGGCCAGGCAAGGUACAGGAGCACCCUGUAAGGAAGGAAGGUUUGUCACUGUCUGCUGAUCUGCUUUAGAGAAACCGUAAGGUCAUGGCCUGAACCAGUGAUUGAGCACCCGGUGAAGGGGCGUACGCAGCCCUGGGAGCACAGGUGUGAGCAAUUCACUUGUGCCACCAGAACCUAACCUCAUUUAAGGGCUGGCAGCCACAAGGGAAGCAUCUCUAAUUGGAGGUCCCCAUCCUUUUUCAGUAUGCUCUGAUCCUUGGAAUAGUGGUAAAUGAUUCCUUUUCUGUUUCUGGAUGGUGACUACUACCUUUCUUGGGUUGAAAGCAACUGUCUAUUGUCACCUAUAUUUACUCCUGCUGACCAGGGAGAGAAAAGGACUUGCUAGUCCAGCCCUUUUCAUUCCAGCUAUAGUGAAGUUUAGAACUCUAUGGUGCUUUUUACUAUCCUUGUUAGCUAACAAAGGGAAACCGUGGCAAAGCUUCAGUGAGAGGCAGACCUACAAGGUAGGGAGCUUUCUGCUGCGUUGCCUCAUCUUUUCCUUCUGCCUACCCCAGAACAGUUCCUUAUAUUACAAGAACUUGCCCUCAGGAUAGUGAGCUGGAGAGAUACUGUUUUCUGCUGCCUUCCCUUAAGUAAGUACUUGAACUUGUCCCUGCUGGAGCCUGUCAGGAGGACUUCAAGUACAAAUCUGGGGUAUUCACAGAAGAAACCUCUCCUGCAGAGAAUGCAGCUUAAUGUAGUCUUGUCCUGGUUUCAGAUGAAACUGAAUUGAUUUUUCCUUUUAGUGUCUGACAUGAUGCUAUAUUUUGGCCUUGGUAGAAAAAGCAGCGUUAAUAGCAUGCUGAUGGUUUGCUUGUUGCUGAGUGAUGGGAGCACAGUAGGACUGGGUGACUUAGUGAGCAAGAACUAUGGCCUUCCUGGUGAAAGAGCAGAAAACUGAGUUGUUUAGGGGCUGGCUGGGUGUUAGUGGGUGGGUGGUGAGCUGUUGUGUUGGGAGUGGGGCACUGCCCAGUGAGCAGUGGUGGCAGGGGAUGAGACUUUGCAUUCUGAAAGCGUGUGUGAAAAUAUAUAGCAUUGCAUUUUUUCUUUUCUCUCUUCUUUUUCUGUCUCUUAUGUCAACUCUCAAAUUCUACCUUCUUUUUCCCCCCAGUUCUCUCUCUCAUUCCUCUUACAUGGGUAAAAGCGUGGUGCUGAGCUGCUGCCAGGUUAAACCAGAACCAUCCUACCAGCAGAGUAUCCAACAGCUGCUUUCCAUGGUGAUGAGUUUUGUAAGGAGCAAAGCAGUUUUGUAUUAACAACUCCGUAGCCCUGUAGGCUUAUAGCCUGGCAGGGCAAAGAAAAAAGCCAAGUGCGGACAAAGCAGGGAAGCCAGUCCUUCUGCUGGAAAUAAGCACAGAUGGCAGCAAUGCAAUUGAAAGUACUCCAGGGCUCACUCCCGAUCCAGUGGAUUGUUUGGAACAGAAGAGGUAGCAACCCACGGCAUAUCCUUGGCCUCCUGUCAAGAAAUGAUUGAUAAUCAGAGGCGUGGUGGUGAGCCAUGGCCAUUUGAGAGCCCCCACACAUUAGGCUUCGCAUCAACUUUCAGCCACUUUCAAUCAGAAUUUCAUUUAAGAUUCCUAAUAGCAGAGCUGCCUGCAAAACAAAUAGAAGCAGCUGCCUUCAUUGGGCUUCCCUCCUCACCCCUCAGUGAGAACCUCUGGACUUGUACCAGGCAGCCCCAUUGCUUCAGGCAGCCGUGCUCUGGCUGUGAGUUCCAGCAAUCUGAAUACUCAGGCUUCAAGGUCUGCUCUGAAUUUGGCUCCUGAUGUUGGUCACCUGAUGGCGCUGACAGCAAUGUGGAGUCAUGAAUGCGACAUAUGUGAAACAGGAAACCUUACAGAACUGAAAGUAAGAUGUCUCUUGGGAGCUGUACUCUUAAGUAUCUGUAGAACUGUAGCAAGGCUCUUCUCUUGUUGAAGCUCAUACUUUUAGGUGCUUGUACCACCUUGACUGCUGUGCAGAGGCAGUAGGCAGUUGUAGAGACCAAUGAGGUCUCCCCUCAGCCUCCUCUUCUCCAGACUAAAUAAAACCGAUUCUCUCAGUCACUCCUCAUAACACUUGUUUUCUAGUCCCUUCACCUGCCUUGUUGCUCUUCCAUGUGGCUGGGAAAGCUGCUAAAUAGAAAU